UACGUAGGGUGCAAGCGUUAAUCGGAAUUACUGGGCGUAAAGCGUGCGCAGGCGGUUUUGUAAGUCUGACGUGAAAGCCCCGGGCUCAACCUGGGAAUUGCGUUGGAGACUGCAAGGCUUGAAUCUGGCAGAGGGGGGUAGAAUUCCACGUGUAGCAGUGAAAUGCGUAGAGAUGUGGAGGAACACCGAUGGCGAAGGCAGCCCCCUGGGUCAAGAUUGACGCUCAUACACGAAAGCGUGGGGAGCAAACAGG
Molecule: ribosomal RNA, 253 nt
Filed under: uncultured bacterium
Lineage: Bacteria
Description: partial 16S ribosomal RNA
Rfam family: Bacterial small subunit ribosomal RNA
Source: RNAcentral